GUGACCAAGACUGACCAGGUUUCUUUUUUUUUUUUUAUUUUGUACCAGGGAUCAAGCUCGGGACCUUGUGCUUGCGAGGCAGGCAGCGGCACCACUGAGCUAAAUUGCCAGUCCAAGACUGACCAGGAAAAAACCCUCGAUUUACAACGAAUUUCCCA
RNAcentral lists this long non-coding RNA (158 nucleotides) under Fukomys damarensis (Damara mole-rat). Its description in RNAcentral is "lncRNA (ENSFDAG00000026162.1)". The record is from RNAcentral. Lineage: Eukaryota; Metazoa; Chordata; Mammalia; Rodentia; Bathyergidae.